AUUGAACGCUGGCGGAAUGCUUUACACAUGCAAGUCGAGCGGCAGCGCGGGGCAACCUGGCGGCGAGCGGCGAACGGGUGAGUAACAUAUCGGAACGUACCCAGUCGUGGGGGAUAACUAUCCGAAGGAUAGCUAAUACCGCAUACGACCUGAGGGUGAAAGCGGGGGACCGAAAGGCCUCGCGCGAUUGGAGCGGCCGAUAUCGGAUUAGCUAGUUGGUGAGGUAAAGGCUCACCAAGGCGACGAUCCGUAGCUGGUCUGAGAGGACGACCAGCCACACUGGAACUGAGACACGGUCCAGACUCCUACGGGAGGCAGCAGUGGGGGAAUUUUUGGGACAAUGGGGGCAACCCUGAUCCAGCCAUUCCGCGUGAGUGAAGAAGGCCCUCGGGUUGUAAAGCUCUUUUGUCCGGAAGAAAGCAAUCGGUUAAUACCCGGUUGUUCUGACGGUACCGGAAGAAUAAGCACCGGCUAAC
RNAcentral lists this ribosomal RNA (476 nucleotides) under uncultured bacterium. RNAcentral describes it as "bacterial SSU rRNA". It matches the Rfam family "Bacterial small subunit ribosomal RNA", at positions 30 to 501 of the family's 1533-position model. The record is from RNAcentral.